GCAAGUGUAGAUAUAGAUCUUAUUCGCCUGAAUACUGUACUUGUAUAAAUUAUAAUGAAGAAUUUCGAUGUCUGGAUGAUUUAGAAUGUAUUAAUAAACGUUACUUUUGUGAUGGAUAUAAACAUUGUAAUGAUGGUUCGGAUGAGGAUCCCGAAAGAUGUAGAGCCCUACCUUGUCCAAAAGAAAUGCGUAAAUGUGCAGAUCGAAUAAGAUGUAUUUAUGCAAUAGAAUUCUGUGAUGGCAAACAAGACUGUUUAGACGGAACAGAUGAAAAUGCGUUGUUAUGUGAUGAAACAAAUUUUAAAUGUAAAGAGGAUGAGUUUCGAUGCAAAGACUGGACAAUACAUCGUUACUCUAGAACCGGUUAUUUUAAGUUAUGCGUGAGCAUGAGUCAUGUGUGUGAUGGUAGAAAAAAUUGCUAUGACAAUUCAGAUGAGGAAUUAGAAGUAUGCCAGGUGAAAACAUGUCAAGAAGGACAGGUUAAAUGUGAGUAUUCGUUUAGAUGUAUAUCCCUGUGGGCUUUGUGCAGCUUUGCCCGGUAUAGAACGUGUGGCGAUGGUUCGAAUAUGUCUCUUAGAAGGAAAUAUUGUCCAGGAUAUAAUUGUGGACCUGGACUUACUAAAUGUAAAGAUAAUAUACAGUGUGUGACUGAAAGACGUUUUUGCGAUUCAUCGCCUUUUAAACGAAAACGAAAAUGGUUAUAUGACUGUAAGGAUAAAUCAGACGAGGACUUAGAUUUCUGUAAAGAGAAAGCUUGUGCUAAGGGUUAUGGAAGAUGUAAAGAUGGUAAACAAUGUAUCCCACCAUAUGCUAUAUGUGAUGGAAAAGUUCCUGCAGGGACGGAUCAGACGAGGUUAAAGACAUGUGUCUAGAAUACAAGUGCCCUGAUGGGAAAAAGAAAUGUGAAGACAAUAUACAGUGUAUAAAUCAAGACUCAUUUUGCAAUGCCAUAACUGAUUGUUUUGAUCAUUCAGACGAAGGGGAGAUAUGUAUAGAAUACAAGUGCCCUGACGGGAAAAAGAAAUGUGCAGACGAUAUGCAGUGUAUCAAUCAAGACUCAUUUUGCAAUGGCAGAAUUGAUUGUUUUGAUCAUUCAGACGAAGAAGAGAUAUGCAUAGGGAUUUAGCACAGGAAAGUGGAUAAAAAUAAUUGCAAGUACAAUAUGAAGCCAAGUUUUGUAAUUAUAUUUUCUUGACUUACAUCAGCAUAUUUCAAUGCGUAUUAAAUAUAUUGAA
Long non-coding RNA from Mytilus californianus (California mussel), 1235 nucleotides. RefSeq lists it as uncharacterized. The transcript is spliced from 9 exons. The record is from RefSeq and is a predicted model, not a curated record. Lineage: Eukaryota; Metazoa; Mollusca; Bivalvia; Mytilida; Mytilidae.